Molecule: ribosomal RNA, 874 nt
Filed under: uncultured bacterium
Lineage: Bacteria
Description: bacterial SSU rRNA
Rfam family: Bacterial small subunit ribosomal RNA
Source: RNAcentral
CCCUUAGAGUUUGAUCCUGGCUCAGAUUGAACGCUGGCGGCAUGCCUUACACAUGCAAGUCGAACGGUAGAGUAGCAAUACUCGAGAGUGGCGAACGGGUGAGUAAUAUAUCGGAACGUGCCCAAUCGUGGGGGAUAACGUAGAGAAAUUUACGCUAAUACCGCAUACGAUCUAAGGAUGAAAGCGGGGGAUCGCAAGACCUCGCGCGAUUGGAGCGGCUGAUAUCAGAUUAGGUUGUUGGUGAGGUAAAAGCUCACCAAGCCGACGAUCUGUAGCUGGUUUGAGAGAACGACCAGCCACACUGGGACUGAGACACGGCCCAGACUCCUACGGGAGGCAGCAGUGGGGAAUUUUGGACAAUGGGCGAAAGCCUGAUCCAGCAAUGCCGCGUGCAGGAAGAAGGCCUUCGGAUUGUAAACUGCUUUUGUACGGAACGAAACGGCUCUUUCUAAUAAAGAGGGCUAAUGACGGUACCGUAAGAAUAAGCACCGGCUAACUACGUGCCAGCAGCCGCGGUAAUACGUAGGGUGCGAGCGUUAAUCGGAAUUACUGGGCGUAAAGCGUGCGCAGGCGGUUAUAUAAGACAGUUGUGAAAUCCCCGGGCUCAACCUGGGAAUCGCAUCUGUGACUGUAUAGCUAGAGUACGGUAGAGGGGGAUGGAAUUCCGCGUGUAGCAGUGAAAUGCGUAGAUAUGCGGAGGAACACCGAUGGCGAAGGCAAUCCCCUGGACCUGUACUGACGCUCAUGCACGAAAGCGUGGGGAGCAAACAGAUUAGAUGCCCUGGUAGUCACGCCCUAAACGAUGUCAACUGGUUGUUGGGUGCAUUAGUACUCAGUACGAAGCUAACGCGUGAAGUGACCGCCUGGGGAGUAC